Molecule: long non-coding RNA, 336 nt
Organism: Perognathus longimembris pacificus (Pacific pocket mouse)
Lineage: Eukaryota; Metazoa; Chordata; Mammalia; Rodentia; Heteromyidae
Exons: 3
Source: RefSeq, a predicted model, not a curated record
GUUAUUAUUAAGGUGUUGUAUAGAGAGGCUACCAUUUUGAAAGUCCAGUAAUGUGUACGUUUCGUUUUUGGACAAUGUUACCCCUUCCUCUGCUUUCCCCUAGCCUCCCCCUCUCAUCCCUGCCUACAAGUUCCACAUGGUGUAUACUGAAUUUCAAGACUGCAUUCGCUCAUUCUUCUUCCCUCCCUUUCUGUACCUUCCCUUUGCCUCACCCCCCCCAAAACUAAAACAAAUACCAUCACCACCUGGUUCUUCUUUUGAAGGAUUAUAUAGUCUAGUGGAAAACACAAUAAAUAAUGCUUGCGGCUGAGUAUUGGCUCACACCUGUAAUCCUAG